GGAGGAGGACGACCACCACCAUGAGGAGGAGGAAGAGAAGCCAGAAGAGAAGAAGAGGGAAGAGCAGCCCGCGGGGGCAGACCUCAGCCCGAGGAGGCCCUGGAGCCAGUGCCCAGGCUGCGUGUUUCAUGCCCCGAAGGACAGGAACAACUGAGAGUCACAGGCCAGAGGACCCCAGAAGACGGUGUGGACUUCCCUCGGGACAGCCAGGGAGAAGAAAGGACGCGGCGGCAGAAGCAGACAGAACAUCGGCUAUAUCAAGGAGGACGAAAGGACAAGGG
This is a long non-coding RNA of Tupaia belangeri chinensis (Chinese tree shrew), 281 nucleotides long. RefSeq lists it as uncharacterized. The record is from RefSeq and is a predicted model, not a curated record. The transcript is spliced from 3 exons. Lineage: Eukaryota; Metazoa; Chordata; Mammalia; Scandentia; Tupaiidae.